This is a long non-coding RNA of Amphiprion ocellaris (clown anemonefish), 397 nucleotides long. The record is from Ensembl. NCBI's taxonomy places the organism in Eukaryota, Metazoa, Chordata, Actinopteri, Pomacentridae.
GGAUUUUCCUACAUCGAAGACAAAGGAGUCCAAAAGCACGCAUCUGAAUAAACUUUUCGAGCGGUUUAGCGACUACUUUCCCGAUAAACAACCCGAGGACGACUGGGUGCGCGACCCGUUUGGAAUAAACAUGGAAAGCAUCACGUUGCCUAGCAGCGAUUAAUGUCAGCUGGUGGAGCUAUCAUGUGACCGCACUCUCAGAAAGAAAUUCACAGAGGUUUCCCAGAGACUAUGGGUUGAGGAGGAAUUGGAAAUUUGUCGGCUUAGACCUGGUGUCAUUCCAUCAGUGUUAAACUUCUCGGCUCAUCUUGGAAGAGUACGUGCCAGAAAGACCACGACCAAGCAGCCUUGAGAUCUUAGACAGCGUCUCCCUCAGUUCAAAGGUCCCUCUCUAUCU